RNAcentral lists this unclassified non-coding RNA (211 nucleotides) under uncultured fungus. RNAcentral's name for it is "sequence contains ITS1, 5.8S rRNA gene". The stretch from base 163 to 211 matches the Rfam family "5.8S ribosomal RNA", at positions 1 to 49 of the family's 154-position model. The record is from RNAcentral. Lineage: Eukaryota; Fungi.
UCUCCGUUGGUGAACCAGCGGAGGGAUCAUUACAAGGAUUAACUAUCCAAACCCAUGUGAACUUACCAGUUGUCGUUGCCUCGGCGGGGCCCCCGGGUCCCGCCGUCGGCAAGCUAAACUCUGUUUUAACGUAUUCUCUGAACACGCAAACAAAUAAAUUAAAACUUUCAACAACGGAUCUCUUGGUUCUGGCAUCGAUGAAGAACGCAGC